This 267-nucleotide ribosomal RNA is filed under the name Triticum aestivum (bread wheat). RNAcentral's name for it is "partial small subunit ribosomal RNA". Lineage: Eukaryota; Viridiplantae; Streptophyta; Magnoliopsida; Poales; Poaceae. The record is from RNAcentral.
AUGGAACCCCUAAGUGAUGUUAACUCUAGAGGCUUGUUUUUCAAAAGGAUAUUUGGCUCUGAAGGCUGUUGUCCAGAUAUGCUCAAGGAAGUUUCAAAUAAAAUCCUAAAAAAGUGUGUAGGCCUACCAUUGGCAAUUGUCACUAUAUCUAGUUUGUUGGCAAACAUAUCAGCUACCAAGGAGGAGUGGGAGAAGGUUAAAAGGUCAUGUGGUUCUGCACUGGAAAAUAACCAGAGUCUAGAAGGAAAGAUAACAUACCAAUCCUAA